This 309-nucleotide ribosomal RNA is filed under the name Triticum aestivum (bread wheat). Its description in RNAcentral is "partial small subunit ribosomal RNA". The record is from RNAcentral. Lineage: Eukaryota; Viridiplantae; Streptophyta; Magnoliopsida; Poales; Poaceae.
AUGGAAUUAACCAUUCUUCUAGAGGCCAUUCAGCCGUCAAGCGAACGAGACAACUUUCGAUGGAAUCUGCAUCAGAACGGCAGAUUUUCAGUCAAGUCCUUGUACGAUGCACUGGCUCAUAGUGAUGUUCUGGUUGAUAACAAAAGAUUAUGGAAGCUCAAAAUACCUCUAAGAGUGAAGAUAUUCCUCGUGUUUCUGAGUAGAGGCGUAAUCUUAACAAGAGAUAACCUGGCAUGAUGCAACUAGCAAGGUAGCAAGACAUGUGUCUUCUGCCAGUGUGACGAGUCUAUUAAACACUUAAUCUUUUGA